UGGGGAAUAUUGGACAAUGGGCGCAAGCCUGAUCCAGCUAUACCGCGUGUGUGAAGAAGGCCUUCGGGUUGUAAAGCACUUUAAGCAGGGAGAAAAAGUUAUAAGUUAAUACCUUAUAACCGUGAUGUUACCUGCAGAAUAAGCACCGGCUAAUUCCGUGCCAGCAGCCGCGGUAAUACGAAGGGUGCUAGCGUUGUUCGGAAUUACUGGGCGUAAAGGGCGUGUAGGCGGAUGAUCAAGCUAGAGGUGAAAGCCCAGGGCCCAACCCUGGAACUGCCUUUAGAACUGAUUGUCUAGAAUCCGUAAGGGGAGUGUGGAAUUCCUAGUGUAGAGGUGAAAUUCGUAGAUAUUAGGAAGAACACCAGUGGCGAAGGCGGCACUCUGGUACGGUAUUGACGCUGAGGCGCGAAAGCGUGGGGAGCAAACAGGAUUAGAUACCCUGGUAGUCCACGCCGUAAACGAUGUCUGCUAGCCGUUUGGGCACUUAGUGUCUGGGUGGCGCCGCUAACGCAUUAAGCAGACCGCCUGGGGAGUACGGUCGCAAGAUUA
This 549-nucleotide ribosomal RNA is filed under the name uncultured bacterium. RNAcentral's name for it is "bacterial SSU rRNA". It matches the Rfam family "Bacterial small subunit ribosomal RNA", at positions 355 to 896 of the family's 1533-position model. The record is from RNAcentral.